This 67-nucleotide microRNA precursor is filed under the name Myotis lucifugus (little brown bat). RNAcentral's name for it is "miRNA (ENSMLUG00000022453.1)". The record is from RNAcentral. Lineage: Eukaryota; Metazoa; Chordata; Mammalia; Chiroptera; Vespertilionidae.
GUGUGGGUGCGGGCAUGUGAGUGUGUGUCGCUCGGGUCCACGCUCGUGCACACACCCGCACGUCCGC